UCAUAUGAUGCGGUAAUUUGCGAUUGACCCGGUGUCUGUGAAGCUCUCGCCGGAGUUUCGAUACAGCACUGAAGUAUGAUAUUUAAUCUUCUUACAUAUUCUGAUA
RNAcentral lists this small nucleolar RNA (106 nucleotides) under Aspergillus pseudonomiae. Its description in RNAcentral is "A. fumigatus snoRNA Afu_514". It matches the Rfam family "A. fumigatus snoRNA Afu_514". RNAcentral also lists the same sequence under 1 other name. The record is from Rfam by way of RNAcentral. Lineage: Eukaryota; Fungi; Ascomycota; Eurotiomycetes; Eurotiales; Aspergillaceae.